This 440-nucleotide ribosomal RNA is filed under the name uncultured bacterium. Its description in RNAcentral is "partial 16S ribosomal RNA". It matches the Rfam family "Bacterial small subunit ribosomal RNA", at positions 338 to 795 of the family's 1533-position model. The record is from RNAcentral.
CCUACGGGUGGCUGCAGUGGGGGAUAUUGCACAAUGGGGGAAACCCUGAUGCAGCAACGCCGCGUGAGUGAAGAAGUAUUUCGGUAUGUAAAGCUCUAUCAGCAGGGAAGAGAAUGACGGUAUCUGACUAAGAAGCCCCGGCUAACUUCGUGCCAGCUGCCGCGGUAAUACGUAGGGGGCGAGCGUUAUCCGGAUUUACUGGGUGUAAAGGGAGCGUAGACGGUUGGUCAAGUCUGAAGUGAAAGCCUGGGGCUUAACCCCGGAACGGCGUUGGAAACUGAGCAGCUAGAGUGAUGGAGAGGUAAGCGGAAUGCCUAGUGUAGCGGUGAAAUGCGUAGAUAUUAGGAGGAACACCAGUGGCGAAGGCGGCUUACUGGACAGUAACUGACGUUGAGGCUCGAAAGCGUGGGGAGCAAACAGGAUUAGAUACCCGGGUAGUC